RNAcentral lists this ribosomal RNA (557 nucleotides) under uncultured bacterium. RNAcentral describes it as "partial 16S ribosomal RNA". It matches the Rfam family "Bacterial small subunit ribosomal RNA", at positions 355 to 932 of the family's 1533-position model. The record is from RNAcentral.
UGGGGAAUAUUGGACAAUGGGCGCAAGCCUGAUCCAGCCAUGCCGCGUGAGUGAUGAAGGCCUUAGGGUUGUAAAGCUCUUUCGCCGGUGAAGAUAAUGACGGUAACCGGAGAAGAAGCCCCGGCUAACUUCGUGCCAGCAGCCGCGGUAAUACGAAGGGGGCUAGCGUUGCUCGGAAUCACUGGGCGUAAAGCGCACGUAGGCGGAUCGUUAAGUCAGGGGUGAAAUCCUGGAGCUCAACUCCAGAACUGCCCUUGAUACUGGCGAUCUCGAGUUCGAGAGAGGUUGGUGGAACUCCGAGUGUAGAGGUGAAAUUCGUAGAUAUUCGGAAGAACACCAGUGGCGAAGGCGGCCAACUGGCUCGAUACUGACGCUGAGGUGCGAAAGCGUGGGGAGCAAAACAGGAUUAGAUACCCUGGUAGUCCACGCCGUAAAACGAUGGAUGCUAGCCGUUGGGGUUGGAUCCUCUCAGUGGCGCAGCUAACGCCUUAAGCAUCCCGCCUGGGGAGUACGGUCGCAAGAUUAAAAACUUAAAGGAAUUGACGGGGUCAUAGCUG